GGGGAUAUAGCUCAGUGGCACAGCACCUGCCUGGCAAGCGCGAGGUCCUGGGUUCAAUCCCCAGUACCA
This 69-nucleotide transfer RNA is filed under the name Heterocephalus glaber (naked mole-rat). It matches the Rfam family "tRNA". From Rfam's summary of the family: Transfer RNA (tRNA) molecules are approximately 80 nucleotides in length. Their secondary structure includes four short double-helical elements and three loops (D, anti-codon, and T loops). The record is from Rfam by way of RNAcentral. Lineage: Eukaryota; Metazoa; Chordata; Mammalia; Rodentia; Bathyergidae.